Molecule: non-coding RNA, 48 nt
Organism: Schistosoma rodhaini
Lineage: Eukaryota; Metazoa; Platyhelminthes; Trematoda; Strigeidida; Schistosomatidae
Source: Rfam
AUCCAGCUGAUGAGUCCCAAAUAGGACGAAACACGCGUCAAACUGGAU